UACAGAGGUCCCAAGCGUUGUUCGGAUUCACUGGGCGUAAAGGGUGCGUAGGCGGUCGGGUAAGUCUGAUGUGAAAUCUCACAGCUUAACUGUGAAACUGCAUUGGAUACUAUCCGGCUCGAGGAAUGGAGGGGAGACUGGAAUACUUGGUGUAGCAGUGAAAUGCGUAGAUAUCAAGUGGAACACCAGUGGCGAAGGCGAGUCUCUGGACAUUUCCUGACGCUGAGGCACGAAAGCCAGGGUAGCAAACGGG
This 253-nucleotide ribosomal RNA is filed under the name uncultured bacterium. RNAcentral's name for it is "partial 16S ribosomal RNA". It matches the Rfam family "Bacterial small subunit ribosomal RNA", at positions 524 to 776 of the family's 1533-position model. The record is from RNAcentral.